This 227-nucleotide ribosomal RNA is filed under the name uncultured Anaerolineaceae bacterium. Its description in RNAcentral is "partial 16S ribosomal RNA". It matches the Rfam family "Bacterial small subunit ribosomal RNA", at positions 1156 to 1382 of the family's 1533-position model. The record is from RNAcentral. Lineage: Bacteria; Bacillati; Chloroflexota; Anaerolineae; Anaerolineales; Anaerolineaceae.
UAUUAAGCCGGAGGAAGGUGGGACGACGUCAAGUCAGCAUGACCUUUAUAUCCAGGGCUACACACACGCUACAAUGGUCAGUACAAUGGGUUGCCAAGCCGCGAGGCGGAGCCAAUCCUAAAAAGCUGGCCUCAGUUCAGAUUGCAGUCUGAAACUCGACUGCAUGAAGUCGGAGUUGCUAGUAAACGCAGGUCAGCUAUACUGCGUUGAGUACGUUCCCGGGGCUU